Long non-coding RNA from Dreissena polymorpha, 379 nucleotides. RefSeq lists it as uncharacterized. The record is from RefSeq and is a predicted model, not a curated record. The transcript has 3 exons. Lineage: Eukaryota; Metazoa; Mollusca; Bivalvia; Myida; Dreissenidae.
AGACUUUAUUUUAUUGACGGAAACAGUUUCAAAUCAGUGCAGUUUGAUGGAACUAAACUGACAGAAGUUGGGCAAAUUGCUAACUCAAUUUUGCCUCCUCUUAAACUUCAAUUAUACAAGAAUCACCUUCUUGUGGCUGACGCAGGCAUCAAUCUGGAUAUUUUGUCUCUGACAGAUUCAGAAAACACAACGUACACUCUUUUACCGCUUGUAGCAGUUACUGAUAUAAGUUUUGUUGAUAUCACCGAACAACCAGAAGAAUACGGUCCAUGCAAGGCAGAAAAUGGAGAAUGUGAGCACAUCUGUGUCCCGCUUGGUCAAAACAGAAUAUGUCAAUGUAGCUUUGGUUUUGUUCUUGAUAACAACAUGGAAACAUGUU